AACGUAGGAGGCAAGCGUUAUCCGGAGUUACUGGGCGUAAAGCGUGCGUAGGCGGAUGGGUAAGUGGGUGGUGAAAGCGCCCGGCUAAACCGGGCGAGGACCAUUCAGACUGCUCGUCUAGAGGCGGAUAGAGGGGUGCGGAAUUCCGGGUGUAGCGGUGAAAUGUGUAGAGAUCCGGAGGAACACCAGUGGUGCAAACGGCGCCCUGGGUCCGAACUGACGCUGAAGCACGAAAGCGUGGGGAGCGAACGGG
RNAcentral lists this ribosomal RNA (253 nucleotides) under uncultured bacterium. RNAcentral describes it as "partial 16S ribosomal RNA". It matches the Rfam family "Bacterial small subunit ribosomal RNA", at positions 524 to 776 of the family's 1533-position model. The record is from RNAcentral.